GGGACACGUGGUAUCCUGUCUGAAUAUGGGGGGACCAUCCUCCAAGGCUAAAUACUCCUGACUGACCGAUAGUGAACCAGUACCGUGAGGGAAAGGCGAAAAGAACCCCGGCGAGGGGAGUGAAAAAGAACCUGAAACCGUGUACGUACAAGCAGUGGGAGCACGCUUAGGCGUGUGACUGCGUACCUUUUGUAUAAUGGGUCAGCGACUUAUAUUCUGUAGCAAGGUUAACCGAAUAGGGGAGCCGAAGGGAAACCGAGUCUUAACUGGGCGUUAAGUUGCAGGGUAUAGACCCGAAACCCGGUGAUCUAGCCAUGGGCAGGUUGAAGGUUGGGUAACACUAACUGGAGGACCGAACCGACUAAUGUUGAAAAAUUAGCGGAUGACUUGUGGCUGGGGGUGAAAGGCCAAUCAAACCGGGAGAUAGCUGGUUCUCCCCGAAAGCUAUUUAGGUAGCGCCUCGUGAAUUCAUCUCCGGGGGUAGAGCACUGUUUCGGCAAGGGG
Molecule: ribosomal RNA, 504 nt
Filed under: Escherichia coli
Lineage: Bacteria; Pseudomonadati; Pseudomonadota; Gammaproteobacteria; Enterobacterales; Enterobacteriaceae
Description: partial 23S ribosomal RNA
Rfam family: Bacterial large subunit ribosomal RNA
Source: RNAcentral